This 370-nucleotide unclassified non-coding RNA is filed under the name uncultured bacterium. Its description in RNAcentral is "contains 16S-23S intergenic spacer region". The record is from RNAcentral.
UCCGGUUUGACCCCGGCAGUCUCCUACGAGUCCCCGGCAUUACCCGCUGGCAACAUAGGACAAGGGUUGCGCUCGUUGCGGCACUUAAGCCAACACCUCACGGCACGAGCUGACGACAGCCAUGCAGCACCUGUGCUAGCCCCUUACGGACACGGGCUUUCACCCGCUUUAACUAGCAUGUCAAACCCAGGUAAGGUUCUUCGCGUUGCAUCGAAUUAAACCACAUGCUCCACCGCUUGUGCGGGCCCCCGUCAAUUCCUUUGAGUUUCAGGCUUGCGCCCGUACUCCCCAGGUGGGAUACUUAUCACUUUCGCUUAGCCACUCAGGUUGCCCCGAACAGCUAGUAUCCAUCGUUUACGGCGUGGACUAC